ACGUAGGUGGCAAGCGUUGUCCGGAUUUAUUGGGCGUAAAGCGAGUGCAGGCGGCUCGAUAAGUCUGAUGUGAAAGCCUUCGGCUCAACCGGAGAAUUGCAUCAGAAACUGUCGAGCUUGAGUACAGAAGAGGAGAGUGGAACUCCAUGUGUAGCGGUGAAAUGCGUAGAUAUAUGGAAGAACACCGGUGGCGAAGGCGGCUCUCUGGUCUGUUACUGACGCUGAGGCUCGAAAGCAUGGGUAGCGAACAG
RNAcentral lists this ribosomal RNA (251 nucleotides) under uncultured bacterium. RNAcentral's name for it is "partial 16S ribosomal RNA". It matches the Rfam family "Bacterial small subunit ribosomal RNA", at positions 525 to 775 of the family's 1533-position model. The record is from RNAcentral.